AACACUUUAGUUUGCACAAGCAUAUAUGUAAAUCGGGCUAAUGACAAGGCAUGUCAGUGUCAUCAAUCCUAGUGGCUCAACGAAUUAGGAGACGGAAACGUACGUGUAGCAAAGGUUCACAUGCCCACCAAAAGCAGUACAGCACUAUAUAGUUGGCAGGCAUAAUCUUGGUAAUUAAGCAGGCGUGGUGAUGUAGAUGCCACUGCUAGCAUGCUGAAAACGCA
Molecule: long non-coding RNA, 224 nt
Filed under: Setaria italica (foxtail millet)
Lineage: Eukaryota; Viridiplantae; Streptophyta; Magnoliopsida; Poales; Poaceae
Description: long non-coding RNA (SITA_LNC002805)
Source: RNAcentral